UAGGGAAUCUUCGGCAAUGGACGAAAGUCUGACCGAGCAACGCCGCGUGAGUGAAGAAGGUUUUCGGAUCGUAAAACUCUGUUGUUAGAGAAGAACGUUGUGUAGAGUGGAAAAUUACACAAGUGACGGUAUCUAACCAGAAAGGGACGGCUAACUACGUGCCAGCAGCCGCGGUAAUACGUAGGUCCCGAGCGUUGUCCGGAUUUAUUGGGCGUAAAGCGAGCGCAGGUGGUUUAAUAAGUCUGAUGUAAAAGGCAGUGGCUCAACCAUUGUGUGCAUUGGAAACUGUUAGACUUGAGUGCAGUAGAGGAGAGUGGAAUUCCAUGUGUAGCGGUGAAAUGCGUAGAUAUAUGGAGGAACACCGGUGGCGAAAGCGGCUCUCUGGACUGUAACUGACACUGAGGCUCGAAAGCGUGGGUAGCAAACA
RNAcentral lists this ribosomal RNA (427 nucleotides) under uncultured bacterium. Its description in RNAcentral is "partial 16S ribosomal RNA". It matches the Rfam family "Bacterial small subunit ribosomal RNA", at positions 355 to 774 of the family's 1533-position model. RNAcentral also lists the same sequence under 1 other name. The record is from RNAcentral.